UUUUGCUUUUUUUAAAAAUCAAAUAUCUGCCUUGAAUCAAUUAUUUUAAAAAAAAUCAAAAUCGCAUAUGAAUCAAUUUUUUUUUAAUAAAUUGCUGCCUUAACAGCGAUUUUACACUUUUUUUUAAUUUUUAUGUAAAUCACAGCCAGUGCAGCAAUAUACUAAAUUUUGUUAUUAUUUUUUAAAUUUUUUUAAGUAAAUCGCUGCCAGUGUAGCGAUUUAUGAAUUUCGAUGCCAGUGCAGUGGCUGUGAUUUAUGGGAGUUUUUUAUUUUUUACUUUUUAAUUACUUUUAAAUAGUGUAGCGAUUUACGAAAUUUUUGUUUUUUUUAAAAAUCUCUUAAAAAUAAAUCCUGCCUAUUUUCUAAUUGUGUAGUGAAAUUUCUGCAAUUUUUUUUUCCGAUUUACUCCAAAUUUUUUUUUUUAACUUUUAAAGUUAAUCACAUGUGAACUUUACAAAAAAUAUUCACAUGACAAAUUUUUACAAAAAAAAUUCACAUGUCAAACUUUUACUAAAAAAUUCACAUGCAUUUAUAUGAAAUAGUGUCAAAGUCACAUGAUACAUUAUUAUUUUCUUAUAAAUUGAUUGAGUUGUUCAUUCAAAUUGUAUUGUAGUUUUUCAAAUUUUUUAAAAUUUUUAAAAGCGUUUUCUAGUUUUUCAAUUUUCCAAAGUUUUUAAAAGCCUUUCUCUAUAAGGGAAGUUUGAAUUUAUUUUAAUUUUAAUUUGUUUAAUUAAUUUUAUACUUUUAUAUGAUAUUGUGGAUAUAUUCAUCUUUUGAUACUUAUAUUAAUGUUAAUAUUUAGUUUUACUUUUUGUGUAUGGAUAUGCAUCCGUCAAAUGUGUACUUACAUCCUGGUCCAGUAGAGCAUGAUGUAUUAAAAAUUCAAGUUCAUCAUCGUUCCGAAGGAAUCUGGAAUGGUAGCUUAAAAGAAGAGAAGUCUUGCUUAUAUACGCGUCGUGGUGAUAUUGAAUUUUGGCAAUAUGUAAAAUAUCAUCCAUUACAUUUUCGCAUUCAUCAGUAUUUUGAAAAUUGUAGAUUUAAAAGAAUUCUUGAUGUAGGAUGUGUGUCGUAUGACUCCGGAUUAAUUUCUUCUUUAAUUGAAAGGUGGCGUCCAGAAACACAUACUUUUCACAUGCAAACUGAUGAGGAUACCAUAACAUUACAAGAUGUUGAAAUUUUAUUCGGAAUGAUUUGGGCAUGGGAACGAAUUAUUCCCCUGCAACCAUUGACAAAGCCUCUAAGGACCAAUCAACUUGAAACUUCAACUGCGCUUGCACGUAAAUGGACGCGACGUAGAAAUCAUCACAAUGAGGCACGAACUGUAAUCGGUGUGACUAUAUAUGUACUAGAUAAUCUAACUGAUGAAUAGGUAUUUAUUAUUAUUAGUAUUUUAAACUAUUCAUAUUUUUAUUCCAUGUUAAAUAAAAAUAUGUUUGGUAGGUCUUUAUAUGAGACACUUAUGUUUUACUACCCAAGAAAUUAUAUGAAUAAAAUGACAUAUACAUAGAUUCUUGAUAGGUCCUUAAAAGUAAGAUAUUACAUGACAUAAUGGUACCAAAAAAUUAUUUUGUAAGAUUGUUCAUUUUCACGUUACACCUUUUUUUUAUUUUUCUACUAAUUUUGUUUUUAUAAUUAUCUUACUUAAUUAUUUUUUUUAUAAUUUAUUUGGCAACCUUAUUCGGAAGAUUUUAUUAAUGGAUUGCC
Molecule: long non-coding RNA, 1704 nt
Organism: Solanum lycopersicum (tomato)
Lineage: Eukaryota; Viridiplantae; Streptophyta; Magnoliopsida; Solanales; Solanaceae
Source: RefSeq, a predicted model, not a curated record